This 464-nucleotide ribosomal RNA is filed under the name uncultured Klebsiella sp. RNAcentral describes it as "bacterial SSU rRNA". It matches the Rfam family "Bacterial small subunit ribosomal RNA", at positions 338 to 795 of the family's 1533-position model. The record is from RNAcentral. Lineage: Bacteria; Pseudomonadati; Pseudomonadota; Gammaproteobacteria; Enterobacterales; Enterobacteriaceae.
CCUACGGGCGGCUGCAGUGGGGAAUAUUGCACAAUGGGCGCAAGCCUGAUGCAGCCAUGCCGCGUGUGUGAAGAAGGCCUUCGGGUUGUAAAGCACUUUCAGCGGGGAGGAAGGCGGUGAGGUUAAUAACCUCAUCGAUUGACGUUACCCGCAGAAGAAGCACCGGCUAACUCCGUGCCAGCAGCCGCGGUAAUACGGAGGGUGCAAGCGUUAAUCGGAAUUACUGGCGUAAAGCGCACGCAGGCGGUCUGUCAAGUCGGAUGUGAAAUCCCCGGGCUCAACCUGGGAACUGCAUUCGAAACUGGCAGGCUAGAGUCUUGUAGAGGGGGGUAGAAUUCCAGGUGUAGCGGUGAAAUGCGUAGAGAUCUGGAGGAAUACCGGUGGCGAAGGCGGCCCCCUGGACAAAGACUGACGCUCAGGUGCGAAAGCGUGGGGAGCAAACAGGAUUAGAUACCCCAGUAGUC